RNAcentral lists this ribosomal RNA (209 nucleotides) under uncultured bacterium. Its description in RNAcentral is "partial 16S ribosomal RNA". It matches the Rfam family "Bacterial small subunit ribosomal RNA", at positions 1293 to 1500 of the family's 1533-position model. The record is from RNAcentral.
UCGGACUGCAGCCUGCAACCCGGCUGCACGAAGCCGGAAUCGCUAGUAAUCGCAGAUCAGAAUGCUGCGGUGAAUACGUUCCCGGGUCUUGUACACACCGCCCGUCACACCAUGGGAGUCGGAAAUGCCCGAAGUCAGUGACCCAACCUUAUAGGAGGGAGCUGCCGAAGGCGGGAUGGACAACUGGGGUGAAGUCGUAACAAGGUAAC